RNAcentral lists this ribosomal RNA (166 nucleotides) under uncultured bacterium. RNAcentral describes it as "partial 16S ribosomal RNA". It matches the Rfam family "Bacterial small subunit ribosomal RNA", at positions 338 to 521 of the family's 1533-position model. The record is from RNAcentral.
CCUACGGGAGGCAGCAGUGGGGAAUAUUGGACAAUGGGGGCAACCCUGAUCCAGCAAUGCCGCGUGAGUGAUGAAGGCCUUAGGGUUGUAAAGCUCUUUCGCCCGAGACGAUGAUGACGGUAUCGGGAGAAGAAGCCCCGGCUAAUUCCGUGCCAGCAGCCGCGGU